GAUGAAGAACGUAGCGAAAUGCGAUACUUGGUGUGAAUUGCAGAAUCCCGUGAACCAUCGAGUCUUUGAACGCAAGUUGCGCCCGAAGCCAUUAGGCCGAGGGCACGCCUGCCUGGGCGUCACACGUCGUUGCCCCCCCAUCUACUCCUUCGGGAUUGCGGGGGGCGGAUGAUGGCCUCCCGUGCGCCUCGUCGCGCGGUUGGCAUAAAUGCCAAGUCCUCGGCGACGCACGCCACGACAAUCGGUGGUUGCGAAACCUCGGUUGCCCGUCGUGUGCGGUCGUCGCGCAUCGAGGGCUCGAAAAAAUUGCCGGGCUCCGGCUCGGCUUUCAACGCGACCCCCGGUCAGGCGGGGUUACCCGCUGAAUUUAAGCAUAUCAAUAAGCGGAGGA
Molecule: unclassified non-coding RNA, 391 nt
Filed under: soil metagenome
Description: partial contains 5.8S ribosomal RNA, internal transcribed spacer 2, and large subunit ribosomal RNA
Rfam family: 5.8S ribosomal RNA (bases 1-122)
Source: RNAcentral